Molecule: small RNA, 37 nt
Filed under: Arabidopsis thaliana (thale cress)
Lineage: Eukaryota; Viridiplantae; Streptophyta; Magnoliopsida; Brassicales; Brassicaceae
Description: ATSL060930
Source: RNAcentral
AAGUCUCUCUCUCUCUCUCUCUCUCUCUCUGCUCUAU